CAGCCGCCGCGGGAAUACGUAGGUGGCAAGCGUUGUCCGGAAUUAUUGGGCGUAAAGGGCUCGCAGGCGGUUUCUUAAGUCUGAUGUGAAAGCCCCCGGCUCAACCGGGGAGGGUCAUUGGAAACUGGGAAACUUGAGUGCAGAAGAGGAGAGUGGAAUUCCACGUGUAGCGGUGAAAUGCGUAGAGAUGUGGAGGAACACCGGUGGCGAAAGCGGCUCUCUGGCUUGUAACUGACGCUGAGGCUCGAAAGCGUGGGGAACAAACAGGAUUAGAUACCCCCGUAGUCCCUGUCUCUUAUAA
Molecule: ribosomal RNA, 301 nt
Filed under: uncultured bacterium
Lineage: Bacteria
Description: partial 16S ribosomal RNA
Rfam family: Bacterial small subunit ribosomal RNA
Source: RNAcentral